CCUCCAUGAUUUUGUCAGGGGCUAAACAUUACCCAAUUUAAGGUAAGCUAAAGAGUAUUCCUGUUACAGAUAGAAAAAAAAAAAAGUUCAUGGGUAGCAGUUCCCAGAAGGUGGGUAUGAAAAGCCUAGCUCUCUCCCUAAUGGAGAAAAGCAAAUCUCACCAUCCAUUAUUCACAGAGACUUUUUGUAGUUCCCUGAAGCAAGGCUGUUUUACCCUGCCCAACUUGGGAAGCAUUCUCCUUGGUUCACGCUAAUGGAAAAUGGAGGAGAAAAUGGUUUAUAGACUAUUCUUGCUGAGACAACCGUCUGGGUGACCCAAAACAAAAAUCAACUAAUCAAUCCCAAGGCUUCCUACACAUUGACUGGAAAUCUACCCCCACAACUUGAUGUGGGAGGGAAACACCCAAGUUCCCAGAAAAUCCCAUUUAUCCAUAAGACCCUUCUCCUCAUUAUUUCAGCCUCCCUAGGGAUAGACACUAAGGUGUUACAGCUCUGGUCCAUUGCAUGAAGAGUUAUCCAGGGCCUGGAAGAUGUUCAUGGUGGCAUCAACUGACCACCUCAGUCAUAAAUGGUCCUGGAAAUCCGACUUGGAUCAGUACUGCCUUCUGAUCAAAACUUAGAUGAUCAGUGAUAUCCAAGGUCCCUAAUAACUACUGGAUUCUCAGAUUCCAGUGUGUGAGCAUGAGACAAUGAAGGCAAAUGGGUAGGACCUGGCACACACACAUCCCAAGCACUGUCACGAAAGGAGGAUUCACACAUAUCAACAUAAAGUCUGAGACCAAAGCAAAGAAAUAGCACCUGAUGUUCUUUUCAACCAAGAUCCCUGCUUAAUUCCAAACAUAUUCUUCAGGCUGGAUGUCGGGCAGCUGAAGGGUGAUCAGUCUUCUGCUGGAAUUAAAGCCUGCUGUGAUGUUAAUGAAGAACCGCCAGUGGGUUUGCUGGAAGGGGGAAAUUUGGAGACAGACACAUACACAGGGAGAUGCCGUGUGAAGACUUGAGUUCUGUUGCAGUGAACCCAGAUCACACCACUGCACUCCAGCCCGGGUGACAGAGCAAGACUCCAUCUCAAAGAAAAAAAGCGAUUAAAAACUUAAACAUAAGACUUCAAACUGUAAAACUACCAGAAGAAAGCAUAGGAAAAAAAUGAUUCUUAAUGUUGGUCUUGAUGUAAGCCAAAAAUAAAACUCUAAGCUUUCCCCCUGACCCCCAACUGACUGAAUGGACUACUCUCUCAGCCAAGGACAUUCCAAAGUAAACCUGAAAAACUAGUUCAGGCCAUGAUGGGAAGAGGGGGUCAGACAUUAUACCCUCCUCCCUUUGGAAUACAAACACAACUGACCAGCAUUAACAUUAAAACAGUGAUCUUAAGACUGACAAAACAGACUCUUGUCAGUAGCAAUAAGAUACUGAAUUCCAACCUGACUCUAGUAUAGCAUCACAUGACAGAUAGCAGGCCCUGAAAGAAAUCAAAGUGUUUUACCCCCAAAUAUAUUUCUUUGACAUAUUUUGAAAUGGCGCUGCAAACUGUUUCUUGCAGGGAAAAUUUACAUUCUGUAGAGAAUCCCCUUCCAUUUCCA
RNAcentral lists this long non-coding RNA (1577 nucleotides) under Homo sapiens (human). RNAcentral's name for it is "HSALNT0129320". Lineage: Eukaryota; Metazoa; Chordata; Mammalia; Primates; Hominidae. The record is from RNAcentral.